GAUGAACGCUGGCGGCAUGCCUUACACAUGCAAGUCGAACGGUAACAGGUCUUCGGAUGCUGACGAGUGGCGACCGGGUGAGUAAUACAUCGGAACGUGCCCGAUCGUGGGGGAUAACGAAGCGAAAGCCUUGCUAAUCCCGCAUUAGAUCUUAGGAGGAAAGCAGGGGACCGCCAGGCCUUGCGCGAACGGAGCGGCCGAUGGCAGAUUAGGUAGUUGGGGGGAUAGAAGCUUACCAAGCCGACGAUCUGUAGCUCGUCUGAGGGGUCGACCAGCCACACUGGGACUGAGACACGGCCCAGACUCCUACGGGAGGCAGGAGUGGGGAAUUUUGGACAAUGGGCGAAAGCCUGAUCCAGCCAUGCCGCGUGCAGGAUGAAGGCCUUCGGGUUGUGAACUGCUUUUGUACGGAACGAAAAGACUCUUUCUAAUAAAGAGGGUCCAUGACGGUACCGUAAGAAUAAGCACCGGCUAACUACGUGCCAGCCGCCGCAGUAA
RNAcentral lists this ribosomal RNA (498 nucleotides) under uncultured bacterium. RNAcentral's name for it is "partial 16S ribosomal RNA". It matches the Rfam family "Bacterial small subunit ribosomal RNA", at positions 28 to 523 of the family's 1533-position model. The record is from RNAcentral.